CAAAAGAAUGUUCACACGAGUCUCACAAAUAUGCUGAAUAUAUUAUGCUUGCGCUGCUUUUACUUAAGAUUGGAGUAUUUACUUAGCUUUUACUUCUUCUGAGCAAUGUUCAUUUUCUUUUUCUUUAUAUCUCUCUCUUUUUGUUAUUUUCAAGUAGUUACAUGAAAGAGCAGAAUUAAUCUAAUAUGCUGCAUAUAGAUAUAUAUCUUGCAAACAGCAUUUUCAUUAUGCCCAAUGAUUCAUAGCUUAUCACAAGUUAUUUUGAAUUAGAAACUUGAGGCAUAAACUUGUGUAUUUCAUGGUUAUGCAUUAUACAGGCAAAAGUGAACUUCAAUUUAAUCAUACCAUGAAAUAAUUUUCAUUAGCAUGAGAAUGAAGCAUGAUAUCAAGAAGAUUAGCAAUUAAAUGUUUAAUCAUGCUACCAUAUAAUUUUAGACUAUUAAUUUUGCUCAACUAACUCACAAGAGAAGGGUUUAGAUUACCAAGGCAUUUAGCAUUCUUCAAGCCAAAUUCCUUUUAGAUUCUUUACACCCUUGGCUGAAGAAAAUCUCUUUUUUUUUGUUUGCAAGGGAAUGUUUAUUGUAUCUUUCAUCGAGGUGUCCUUCAAGUUGAAAUUUCUUGCUCAUAAAUCCUGUAUCAUUAAUGAAAUCUUUUUCUUUCUUGAAGGAAAGUCAUUAGUUUCUUCAAGAUACAAAACAUUCAUCCAAUAUAUUUCUUAGCUAGAUGACUCAACAUAAGAUAUGACAAUAAUUGAAUAUUAAGUCACUUUUCUCAAGAGAUUGUCUGAAUAUAAGCAAGCACAAGUCACUUGAACUAAAGAGAUAACUUCAUUAAGUAAAAUGGUUCAAGGACAAGCAUGUGAGGCAAUAGAAGGAUUCAUCAAGGUCAAAUCAAAAUUUUUUAUUUUCAGAAUUAAUUUAGCUUAGAUUCUAUUUGCUUAAGAUAAUUAUCAAUAAGAUAUACAAGUUGAGUUUUAAUCAAAUUAUCUUAAACAGUUGUUUCUAUCAAAAAUUAUGAUUAUGAUUUAGUUUUCAACACUAAUAAUCAUGUUUCAGGGAGUUGAGCAAUCUACUUUUAGAGCAAUUAGGAUUUUAUUUUGACUUAUGAGUGAUAGUUUAAAAGAAUUAAUAUUCAUGCUUUAAAAGAUUUUU
Molecule: long non-coding RNA, 1151 nt
Filed under: Phoenix dactylifera (date palm)
Lineage: Eukaryota; Viridiplantae; Streptophyta; Magnoliopsida; Arecales; Arecaceae
Description: long non-coding RNA (PDAC_LNC010480)
Source: RNAcentral